RNAcentral lists this ribosomal RNA (346 nucleotides) under uncultured fungus. RNAcentral's name for it is "SSU rRNA". It matches the Rfam family "Eukaryotic small subunit ribosomal RNA", at positions 20 to 370 of the family's 1831-position model. Lineage: Eukaryota; Fungi. The record is from RNAcentral.
GUAGUCAUAUGCUUGUCUCAAAGAUUAAGCCAUGCAUGUCUAAGUAUAAGCAAUUAUACCGUGAAACUGCGAAUGGCUCAUUAAAUCAGUUAUCGUUUAUUUGAUAAUACCUUACUACUUGGAUAACCGUGGUAAUUCUAGAGCUAAUACAUGCUGAAAAUCCCGACUUCGGAAGGGAUGUGUUUAUUAGAUAAAAAACCAAUGCCCUUCGGGGCUUUUUGGUGAUUCAUGAUAACUUUGCGGAUCGCAUAGCCUUGCGCUGGCGACGGUUCAUUCAAAUUUCCGCCCUAUCAACUUUCGAUGGUAAGGUAUUGGCUUACCAUGGUUUCAACGGGUAACGGGGAAU